Long non-coding RNA from Oxyura jamaicensis (ruddy duck), 1284 nucleotides. RefSeq lists it as uncharacterized. The record is from RefSeq and is a predicted model, not a curated record. The transcript has 3 exons. NCBI's taxonomy places the organism in Eukaryota, Metazoa, Chordata, Aves, Anseriformes, Anatidae.
UUCAAAACCAUUACCUGAAGGGAAAAGAGACGAUUCUAAAGAAUCUAUGUCAAAUGUGUUCAGAAAUGAUGCAGCUGAUCAGCAGUUUAACCUUGAAGCUGCAAUUAAAAAUGUUGACAAAAUGUCCGAUGAGCUGAAGAAACUGAAUGUGGAAAGCCAGCUGCUGCUUUGUGACCUUAUUUUGAAUUUCAACCAUCCCAUGAAGACCAAAGAUUUAAGAGAAGCUGAAGAAAAAGCUUGGAGUUUGACAGAUUAAGUAAUACAAUCCAUUUUCAUGCAUUGUCUUCUAUUAAUAGUGAUUGAGUUUCAACUGUAAAGCGACAAUAUGGUUUCCUUCACUUGGUUUAUUUUUAUUUUAAAUUGGAAAUGUAGAAUGGAAAACAGUAUUGAUUUUGAGAGAGAUUUUAACCCAAAUUUCUCAAAUUAAAUAUACUCGGUCUGGAAAGAGUAGCAAAAUUAACUAGAAAGGUCAGGAAAUGGGGCAUGAAGUUCUUCACAUGUGCUUGUCUCCUUUUAAAUGAAGACAUAUUGGAAGAGUAACAAAAGAUUUAAAAUUACUUCACGUCAAGUUAUUGCUCUUGUCUCAGUCGUGUUCCAGGAAAUGGGAUGAGAAAUGUUCAAUAAAAGAGGAACUGCAAGUCAUCAUUUGAUAUGCCUUCCUUAUUCUAAAAAUGUUGCUGUGGAAGGAGGCCACAGUGCAAAUUACUUCUGGAAAAUCAAAAGUACUUUGAUCCUAGUUUCUAUAGUGACUUUCUAAUGCAUGUAGAUUCAAAAGAAAGCAAAAGUUAGUAGUUUAAAUACUCUGCUAUGAAGUCUUCUCAGCCCAAAAUUUGUGUAGCCAGUGUAUUCAUACAUUUUAAGUAGAAUUCAUAUUUAAUCAUACUUUACUUGUGAAAAUGUUUGAAUGUUGAGGUAUGUUUUUAGUCAUACAAAACAUGUUUAUCUGAAUAAUCAAAUCCAAAUUUACUCUGUAGAAAAAGAAUAUGUAGAGCUAUAAUUUGAUGUGUAGGUUUUACAUAUUAUUGCUCUUUUCAUAAGUUGAAAAAAAUGGUGAUUUAAAAACAAAUGAAACAAUUCCAUAGGAGGCAUUUCAGGGUUGUCAGAAUUUUCAAGACAGUGUAACAAAAUUACAACCUCCAGCUUACACAGUCAAUGGUAGUAUUGUGGGAUUGAUGUUAAUUUUAGCAUUUUUGGAAAGACAUAUUAAAACUGACUUUUCUUUCACAAGACUAGUAGCAGUUUUUAAAAAAAAUACAGUAGUAGAGAUAGGCUUUGUCAGCUGAA